UCCAAUUUGAAGUGGGUACUAUGACCGAGGCAUAGUGCUUGCCAUUGUUUUACCUUGACUUCCUCACUUCGUACACCAAGGAGUCCACUCUGAUGACUCCUGUUCUGCUCUCUACCUUAUGCUGUGCUGGGCAUGCCUAUGAGCGGAAGACCCCAAUUCAUGGUCUCGAAAGCUGUGUUGGAGGACAAUGAAUGGGGAGAAUGCAGUCUUGGAAAUUUGGAAAUAGGUGGGAUCCAAAGAGCACCCCAAUAUAGCAUUUGCUUAUUGUUCAUAAAAUAGUUGUUGAAUGCAUGAAUAUAUACUUUUUGAGACUGUAGAGAUGCUUGUAGGAAGAGCAGCUGAACACCUGGCGAGGAUAGCGAUUAUUUGCAUGUGUCCAGCUGUGUGCCUGUGCCAGGGCUAAGUCUCCUAGGAAACCAGAGUAGCACCACAUUGUGAACCUGAUGUCAUGACGGUGGCAAGCAGUUUAGUUUCCUGCCUCCACCAGAGUGAGGGCAUACUUGGUGUUAGUAAAUUUCAUAAAUGU
This is a long non-coding RNA of Homo sapiens (human), 526 nucleotides long. NCBI's taxonomy places the organism in Eukaryota, Metazoa, Chordata, Mammalia, Primates, Hominidae. The record is from Ensembl.